This 461-nucleotide ribosomal RNA is filed under the name uncultured bacterium. RNAcentral's name for it is "partial 16S ribosomal RNA". It matches the Rfam family "Bacterial small subunit ribosomal RNA", at positions 338 to 795 of the family's 1533-position model. The record is from RNAcentral.
CCUACGUGGGUCAGCAGUGAGGAAUAUUGGUCAAUGGGCGGGAGCCUGAACCAGCCAAGUCGCGUUAGGGCAGACGGUCCUAUGUAUUGUAGACCUCUUUAGGCGGGGAGCCAUGCCGGGCACGUGUGCCCGGAGGGAGAGUACCCGCAGAAUAAGCAUCGGCUAACUCCGUGCCAGCCGCCGCGGUAAUACGGAGGAUGCGAGCGUUAUCCGGAUUUAUUGGGUUUAAAGGCUGCGUAGGCGGAUUGUUAAGUCUGCGGUAAAAUGUCCGGGCUCAACCCCAAAACUGCCUCUAAUACUGUUGGAGUAGAGAAUAGUUGCGGUAGGCGGAAUGUAUGGUGUAGCGGUGAAAUGCUUAGAGAUCAUACAGAACACCGAUUGCGAAGGCAGCUUACCAAACUAUAUCUGACGUUGAGGCACGAAAGCGUGGGUAGCAAACAGGAUUAGAUACCCGUGUAGUC